CUGGGCUGAAACCUGGUGUUUUAACUAAGACAAACAUGGAGACAAUGCCCCUGCAAACAUCAGAUUUCUACAUCGUCUAGCUCAUCCAUAACGUUUUAUUUCUUUUAUGUCUUGCCCAGGUCACACUGUGCCACAACAGCAGCACCGAGGAAACAGCUCUCGUGGGAUCAAGGGGAGCAUCAUGAACUGACGUGCAGUUCCUCCUGGGCAUGAACACAUCAGGGACAUACAGGCUUCAGGUACUGUAGUAAUGAGAGGAGUAGCCCAGUGUACUAGGAAGUGAACGCUGCGCUGCCAGCUGAUAGAGCCACCUGCCAGGAGAGUGCUGCAGGACUUCGUCCCCAUACUGACUCACCUAAGGGCUCCUGUUCUAUUGAUUCGCCCAUGUGACUUGUGGGAACGACGCAUCCGCUGCAAUCUGGACCAGAGAAUGAAGGAUUCUAUCCUGUUGGUGAAGUAAACUAUUCCAAGUCUGUGAGGAACCAGAACCUCCGGGCAGACCUGCGACAUGCCAGCGGGAUUAUACAUUCCCUCUGGUCUGGGUUCGCCUCAGGAAGAGCUGGAGGUGGCGUCAUGGGGGCAGGGCGUCUGGGAGUUUGCUUAACCGGGACCCACAUGUGAGUCAGACGUUGCUUUUGCUAUUUGCUAUUUGCUAUUAUAGACUUUUUGAUUAUCUAUAGACCACUGCUUACAGUAGCUGCUUUGCUGCAUCAAGUAUAUCGAACUCCAUAUGGCUGCG
This 739-nucleotide long non-coding RNA is filed under the name Betta splendens (Siamese fighting fish). RNAcentral's name for it is "lncRNA (ENSBSLG00000024296.1)". Lineage: Eukaryota; Metazoa; Chordata; Actinopteri; Anabantiformes; Osphronemidae. The record is from RNAcentral.